UACGUAGGGUGCAAGCGUUGUCCGGAAUUAUUGGGCGUAAAGAGCUCGUAGGCGGUCUGUCGCGUCGGCUGUGAAAACCCGGGGCUCAACCCCGGGCCUGCAGUCGAUACGGGCAGACUAGAGUGUGGUAGGGGAGACUGGAAUUCCUGGUGUAGCGGUGAAAUGCGCAGAUAUCAGGAGGAACACCGGUGGCGAAGGCGGGUCUCUGGGCCGUAACUGACGCUGAGGAGCGAAAGCAUGGGGAGCGAACAGG
Molecule: ribosomal RNA, 253 nt
Filed under: uncultured bacterium
Lineage: Bacteria
Description: partial 16S ribosomal RNA
Rfam family: Bacterial small subunit ribosomal RNA
Source: RNAcentral